Molecule: ribosomal RNA, 253 nt
Filed under: uncultured bacterium
Lineage: Bacteria
Description: partial 16S ribosomal RNA
Rfam family: Bacterial small subunit ribosomal RNA
Source: RNAcentral
UACGGAGGGUGCAAGCGUUAUCCGGAUUCACUGGGUUUAAAGGGUGCGUAGGCGGGUAGGUAAGUCAGUGGUGAAAUCUUCGAGCUUAACUCGGAAACUGCCUUUGAUACUAUCUAUCUCGAAUAUUGUGGAGGUAAGCGGAAUAUGUCAUGUAGCGGUGAAAUGCUUAGAUAUGACAUAGAACACCUAUUGCGAGGGCAGCUUACUACGCAUAUAUUGACGCUGAGGCACGAAAGCGUGGGGAUCAAACAGG